ACGAUCUGUGCCUUCUCUUCCAUUAUAAAACCUGUGGGAAUUCAGGAUUCAUUGGCCAUGAAUGUAAAUUAAGUUUAAGUGGUCUUGAUAUUCACUGCCACCGUUUUAUAAUUGGAGCUUUGGUAGGAUUUAUUGAUAAAUUAUCUAAAAUCAAAUCUUCUCUUCGAGUUGCGGACAACCCUGUAAUAAAUGGAAAGAAUUUUGUUCCCACGUCUGCUUCUUCACUUCAAAAUUCUGGUUAUUCCAACUUCUUUGAAACCUCCUUCUCUGAAUGGGCAACUGUUUCAUUGGAUCAGUUCCCUUUCACCCUAAAAGAUACUGCUUCUUUUCUUAAUCUUGGAAGUUUCUCAAACGAUAAUACCUCCGAGUGGAGGAAGGUUCUCAAUUUUAGAGACUGGAAGGACAGAAAUCCUAAGGAUGACAUUGAGGAUAGAUCUAACAGUCAGCUUCCAAUUUCGGUUAAUUCUUCUUUUCAAGUUGAUGAUGCUAAAAAGGCAUAUUUCAUUGACUUGGAGCUAAGCAACAGUCGAGUUCAUUUUCAUGAAUCCUCUUACAUAAUUGGAACUCUUCUAUUUCCAAAUGUCAAGUCUGCAUUGUGUAUUUGCGCGGACUAUCUGGAUAUACUUUGCUCUGCUGAGGGGUUGGUUCUUUCUUCUCUACAAUGGACUCAAAUGAUGCAGGAUUUCCUUUGGGGUCCCUUGAAAUCCACUUUCCCUCCAACUUUAAAGUUACGUGUCUGGAAAGAAAGUGUAAAGUCACCGUUGAAAGUGAGUUUCAGUAUCCAGCACGUGUCCUGUGUUUUACUGCCUGAGUUCCUUGCAGUUAUCAUUGGUUAUUUUACCUUACCUGAUUUGAGCUC
This 859-nucleotide long non-coding RNA is filed under the name Solanum pimpinellifolium. Its description in RNAcentral is "long non-coding RNA (SPIM_LNC000282)". Lineage: Eukaryota; Viridiplantae; Streptophyta; Magnoliopsida; Solanales; Solanaceae. The record is from RNAcentral.